UGGCUCAGCAACGAAACGCUGGCGGCAGGCUUAACACAUGCAGGUNCGAGCGGGCCAUAGCAAUAUGUCUAGCGGCANGACGGGAUGAGUAACGCAGUGGGAACGUACCUUNUUGGUUUCGGAACAACUGGAGGGAANACUUCAGCUAAUACCGGAUAAGCCCUUACGGGGAAAGAUUUAUCGCCGAAAGAUCGGCCCGCGUCUGAUUAGCUAGUUGGUGAGGUAAUGGCUCACCAAGGCGACGAUCAGUAGCUGGUCUGAGAGGAUGAUCAGCCACAUUGGGACUGAGACACGGCCCAAACUCCUACGGGAGG
RNAcentral lists this ribosomal RNA (314 nucleotides) under Bradyrhizobium sp. DASA 35082. RNAcentral describes it as "bacterial SSU rRNA". It matches the Rfam family "Bacterial small subunit ribosomal RNA", at positions 20 to 348 of the family's 1533-position model. Lineage: Bacteria; Pseudomonadati; Pseudomonadota; Alphaproteobacteria; Hyphomicrobiales; Nitrobacteraceae. The record is from RNAcentral.